GCCCACGUAGCUCAGUCGGUAGAGCACGUCCUUGGUAAGGACGAGGUCGGCCGUUCGAUCCGGCUCGUGGGCC
This 73-nucleotide transfer RNA is filed under the name Kiritimatiellia bacterium. Its description in RNAcentral is "Kiritimatiellae bacterium tRNA-Thr". It matches the Rfam family "tRNA". Rfam says of the family: Transfer RNA (tRNA) molecules are approximately 80 nucleotides in length. Their secondary structure includes four short double-helical elements and three loops (D, anti-codon, and T loops). The record is from RNAcentral. Lineage: Bacteria; Pseudomonadati; Kiritimatiellota; Kiritimatiellia.